GGAUCAUUACCGAGUUUACAACUCCCAAACCCAAUGUGAACAUACCAAAACGUUGCCUCGGCGGGACCGCCCCGGCGCCCUCGGGCCCGGAACCAGGCGCCCGCCGCAGGACCCCAAACCUCUGUUUUUGUUAAGAUUUCUCCUCUGAGUGGAUUUUACAAAUAAAUCAAAACUUUCAACAACGGAUCUCUUGGCUCUGGCAUCGAUGAAGAACGCAGCGAAAUGCGAUAAGUAAUGUGAAUUGCAGAAUUCAGUGAAUCAUCGAAUCUUUGAACGCACAUUGCGCCCGCCAGCAUUCUGGCGGGCAUGCCUGUCCGAGCGUCAUUUCAACCCUCAGGCUCCCGCGCCUGGCGUUGGGGAUCGGCCCUCACCGGCCGGCCCCGAAAUACAGUGGCGGCCCCGCCCGUGUACCUCUGCGUAGUAGCACAACCUCGCAGCUGGGAGCGGCGGCGGCCACGCCGGAAAACCCCCGACUUCUGAAAGUUGACCUCGGAUCAGGUAGGAAUACCCGCUGAACUUAAGCAUAUCAAUAAGCGGAGGAAAAGAAACCAACAGGGAUUGCCUCAGUAACGGCGAGUGAAGCGGCAACAGCUCAAAUUUGAAAUCUGCCCCCCCGGGCCGAGUUGUAAUUUGCAGAGGAUGCUUUUGGCGAGGUGCCUUCCGAGUUCCCUGGAACGGGACGCCAUAGAGGGUGAGAGCCCCGUCUGGUCGGACACCGAGCCUCUGUAAAGCUCCUUCGACGAGUCGAGUAGUUUGGGAAUGCUGCUCAAAAUGGGAGGUAUAUGUCUUCUAAAGCUAAAUACCGGCCAGAGACCGAUAGCGCACAAGUAGAGUGAUCGAAAGAUGAAAAGCACUUUGAAAAGAGAGUUAAAUAGCACGUGAAAUUGUUGAAAGGGAAGCGUUUAUGACCAGACUUGGCCCGGUUGAUCAUCCAGCGUUCUCGCUGGUGCACUCUGCCGGUCCAGGCCAGCAUCAGUUCGCUUCGGGGGAUAAAGGCUUCGGGAAUGUGGCUCCCUCCGGGGAGUGUUAUAGCCCGUUGUGUAAUACCCUGAGGUGGACUGAGGU
This 1065-nucleotide ribosomal RNA is filed under the name fungal endophyte. Its description in RNAcentral is "eukaryotic LSU rRNA". The stretch from base 485 to 1065 matches the Rfam family "Eukaryotic large subunit ribosomal RNA", at positions 1 to 594 of the family's 3401-position model. The record is from RNAcentral. Lineage: Eukaryota; Fungi.